RNAcentral lists this ribosomal RNA (468 nucleotides) under uncultured bacterium. RNAcentral describes it as "partial 16S ribosomal RNA". It matches the Rfam family "Bacterial small subunit ribosomal RNA", at positions 28 to 507 of the family's 1533-position model. The record is from RNAcentral.
GACGAACGCUGGCGGCGUGCUUAACACAUGCAAGUCGAACGGAAAGGCCCUGCUUUUGUGGGGUGCUCGAGUGGCGAACGGGUGAGUAACACGUGAGUAACCUGCCCUUGACUUUGGGAUAACUUCAGGAAACUGGGGCUAAUACCGGAUAGGAGCUCCUGCUGCAUGGUGGGGGUUGGAAAGUUUCGGCGGUUGGGGAUGGACUCGCGGCUUAUCAGCUUGUUGGUGGGGUAGUGGCUUACCAAGGCUUUGACGGGUAGCCGGCCUGAGAGGGUGACCGGCCAGGUUGGGACUGAUGUACAGAGGAGGCUCCUGCGGGAGGCAGCAGUGGGGAGUGUUGAACGAGGGGCGGAAGCCUGCUGCAGCAACGCAGCGGGCGGGAUGCGGGCGUUCGGGUUGUAAACCGCGGACGCCGGGGAAGAAGCGUGAGGGAGGGUGAUGGGUAAAGAAGCACGGGCAAACUCUGGG